GAGAAAGAAAAUAGAUCAGCUGUAAAGCUAAAUGACUAAAAUGUUAAUAGAGCAAGGCAGUUAGAGACAACAUAUGAGAAAUAAUUUACAUUUAUGAGAUUCAGAGAAUGUGUGAACAACUGAAGAGGUAGAAAAUAAUGCAAAUAAAGGUGGAAGCAUGAAAUACUGGCAAAGGAGGUGCCAGCUGCCAAGGAGAUCAGAAGAAGGAAAACGCAAAUCAGCUACAAGUUGGUGUUCCAACAGUUUUGGUUUUGGGGCAACUUGGAAAUUACAUAACAUAGCUUUUAAAAUUCCAUGAGCUAUUUCCAUUGCGUGUGAAAGGCACCGUAUCACAGUUUGCAUUUGUUGGUUACGUAGAGAUUUGGAUUUAUCUUUGGAGCUGACUUAUACUGGAGUAAGAGUUCCAGAGAAAUGGAAGCUCUCUAAUUCUCUGCCAGCUGGCCAUUCUGCUUGCAUGUACAAACACAAUGAAUCAUCACAUCAUUCAUCCAUAUUGAGAUUCACAAGUUCUGAAGAAGAAUCUUUGGACUCAAAACAUUAACCGUUUUUCUCUGCACAGGUUCUUCAAUAACUUUCCAUUACUGCCAUUUAGCUGUUCAGAAGCAUAACCUAACAAGACCCAGGUUUGCUGAGCAUGACAAACUUCAAAGUUGGAAAUUCUCAAUCCUCUAGUUCUACAGACACUAAAACUCUGAUGCAAAUGACAAAUAUGAAAGAACAAUGCCACCCGAUGCCACUUUGGAUCAUUAUAAGGCUGAACCAGUUAUCAGCUUGAAGCUUUAUCCUUUGGGUGGUGAAUGUAGCAAGUAGGUGUGAAAUUUUAACAAAGCUGGUCAUAAGUAAGCCAGCAACAAAGUGUAAUGUGAACUUGUUUUCAAACUUUUGA
Stegostoma tigrinum is the source of this 886-nucleotide long non-coding RNA. RefSeq lists it as uncharacterized. The transcript has 5 exons. The record is from RefSeq and is a predicted model, not a curated record. Lineage: Eukaryota; Metazoa; Chordata; Chondrichthyes; Orectolobiformes; Stegostomatidae.